This 641-nucleotide ribosomal RNA is filed under the name Achlya ornata. Its description in RNAcentral is "LSU rRNA". It matches the Rfam family "Eukaryotic large subunit ribosomal RNA", at positions 76 to 630 of the family's 3401-position model. Lineage: Eukaryota; Oomycota; Saprolegniomycetes; Saprolegniales; Achlyaceae. The record is from RNAcentral.
UCCCCCAGUAACGGCGAGUGAAGCGGGAAGAGCUCAAGCUUAAAAUCUCCAUGUUUACAUGGCGAAUUGUAGUCUAUUGAGGCUGUUGUCAGCAUAGCGAUCUGGGAAAAGUCCCUYGGAAAAGGGCAGCAUAGAGGGUGAUACUCCCGUCUUUGCUCAGAUUGUCUGUGUGUACGAUACGCUUUCUUUGAGUCSAGUYGUYYGGGAAUACAGCUCAAAGUAGGUGGUAAAUUCCAUCUAAAGCUAAAUAUUGGUGCGAGACCGAUAGCGAACAAGUACCGUGAGGGAAAGAUGAAAAGAACUUUGAAAAGAGAGUUAAAGAGUACCUGAAACUGUUGAAAGGGAACCGUAUCGUUUCCAGUGUUGUAUCCUAUGCAUAUUUCAUUGGCGGAGUAAUUUGCUGGUGCCCUGUGCAUGGGUGUGACGUCAGAGUCAGUUUGUAUGCUGCGGGAGAUGGUUAGUGAGGAGGUGCGUCACUUCGGUGAAAGUUAUACCUCGCUAUCUAGUUGCCGUGGUUGAGACUGAGGUGCCUACAACAUGCCCUGGGGUUCAGUGCUGCCUCGUUUUGGUGACUGCUUGGAUAGCUUGCUAUGUCUGUGGUUAAUCAGGGCGAUUGGUGGUGCUGAAAACCUCUGCUGUUC